RNAcentral lists this long non-coding RNA (802 nucleotides) under Pan troglodytes (chimpanzee). RNAcentral's name for it is "lncRNA (ENSPTRG00000053187.1)". Lineage: Eukaryota; Metazoa; Chordata; Mammalia; Primates; Hominidae. The record is from RNAcentral.
CAGGAGUGUCGAGUAUUAGUCCUCUUGCUUGCUUAUUGCUUUUUAUCAUCUCAAAAACUUGGUGCUAAUUUCUAACAUUCAACAUUUAUGGACUUCCAGGAACUCAUAAAUGUCACAUCAGGCUGCCUCUUGGUGAAUUUUUAAUCAACAGGGAGAAUUUCAGCUACAAAUAGACCAAGAAUCAAGAGGCCCGCUAUUGAUCAGUCAAAGUGGCACUUAUGAACCUGAGGUUGAAGCAGUUUGGAUAAAAGGAUUCUGGGCUUUCUAUGGCCCCAGAGACAUCUUUUUCCAUCAAGUCCAGACUUGCUGAUCAGUGCAGCUGAGAACAUGUUGAAUUUGAUGUGCCUGUGGAUAUUUGAGUCUGGAACAUUGAAGACAAGUUUGGUCUGGAGAUGUAGACUGGGGAUAUCUCAGCACACAGAUGAUAACUGAAAUGAUGGAGCGGAUGAUAUAACCUGGAGAGAAUCUGGUGUGGGAAGAGUCUUCCCUGAGGUGGCCGAAAGAUGUAAUUCUUACUCCAAAGACUGAAAUAGAGACAAGAGAAGCUGAAGUUACAGGGUUUUGUCAUUGGGAAGACAGUAGAGUGUGUCAUAUCCCAAGAGUGAAGCAAGGACAAACCAAAGAACAACUGGGAAGAUCUGGGAGAAAAAGGGCCUGUGCUGAGUGCCACAGGGAACAGCAUUUAGCAACAUCAAGCAGGAGAGGCAGAGAAAGCAGCAAUAACUCCACAUAUGACUUGGAAAUUGGCUCAGUCUCGUGGCAGGAGAUGUGUGUUUUUAUGGUGUUAAGUGUGAAGGAGUGA